This 233-nucleotide unclassified non-coding RNA is filed under the name plant metagenome. Its description in RNAcentral is "partial contains small subunit ribosomal RNA, internal transcribed spacer 1, and 5.8S ribosomal RNA". The record is from RNAcentral.
UUUCCGUAGGUGAACCUGCGGAAGGAUCAUUAUUGGAUUUUGAAACUUCAGGCUGCUGCUGGCUCUCCUCGGUGGGCAUGUGCACGCUUGUUGUCCAUUAUUUCUCCCACUGUGCACAGAUUGUAGACCUUUCAGUAGGCCUAUGUUGUUUUUCACAAUCUCUAAAUGUAAUAGAAUGGUUUUGAAUCUUGGGAAAUACAAUACAACUUUCAGCAACGGAUCUCUUGGCUCUC